This 697-nucleotide long non-coding RNA is filed under the name Pan troglodytes (chimpanzee). RNAcentral describes it as "long non-coding RNA NONPTRT013718". Lineage: Eukaryota; Metazoa; Chordata; Mammalia; Primates; Hominidae. The record is from RNAcentral.
AGCAAGAAGAAGAUGUGAGACCCACGAGACAGAGAAUCUAAACCCAGAGAUGGGCAAAGGCAGUUCAGGGAUGACAGCCAAAGGAGGUCUCAAGAUGGCAGCUGCCAGUUAUGGAUAACAACAUAUGACUUGGAAAAAUUAACAUGUGUAAAUGCUACAAACAAUACCUCAAAAGUGUUACUCGCUGAAGACAGAGACCAGGAGUGUAGUGAAAGGAGGAAGAGGAGUUGUCUGAUGUGCUGCCCUGUGUCAGAGAAUAACGUGGCACCUGCUUUGGAGUAAAAGAUAGUUGGCAGUCAUCCAUAAUCUCAGGAGAAGACAGCAAACUGGCCAAAAAGCAAAAGCAGAUGGAGGGAGACUGGAGAGCAGAAUCAGUGAAGGAGUCGUGAUGAUGCUGCGCUGCUGGCUUGAGUGGUUCCAGCCAAGGAGUGCAGGUGGCCUCUAGAGGGUGGGAAAAGCAAGUUAAACGGAUUCUCCUCUAGAGCUUCCAGAAGGAACCAGCUCUGCUGACACCUUAAUUUUAGCCCAUAGGACCCAUAAAGGAAGUAAUCGUUCUUGCACACUGGGCUUGGGGGCUGAAAUUCCUACUCUCUACACACCAAUGUUUUCACUUCUGCUUCAGGGGAGGGCAUCCACUGUGGGCCACAUGCUUUAUACAUGCUUGUUCUAGUUCAUCUUCACAACCCAAUGAGGUCAU